CUGCAGCCAGUUAAGUUGAUUGAGCUCUUUUCCUCAUGGAGGCUUGGUGUGCAAUGACUGCAAACAGCAGGUUCCUUGGUAGUGUACGCAGCCUGUUUCUUGUAUGGGUUGCCUCUAAGGGUCCUUGGAGAUAGCC
Molecule: small nucleolar RNA, 136 nt
Organism: Papio anubis (olive baboon)
Lineage: Eukaryota; Metazoa; Chordata; Mammalia; Primates; Cercopithecidae
Gene: SNORA70
Rfam family: Small nucleolar RNA SNORA70
About the family: snoRNA U70 seems to be exclusive to mammals and is a member of the H/ACA class of snoRNA which contain H (ANANNA) and ACA box motifs.
Source: Ensembl